GAUAACACUCAGCAAGUGCGCAAUGCACGAAUGAAUAAGAGAAAGGCCAUGCCCCAACUUAUCUGUCUUCCAUAUUUCAUUGUCUAAUAGCUCUUGCAGCAGGCUUAUAAAGGCAGGCUCCCUAUUUAAGAGAGGAAAUGACAAAGCCAUUAACCUUUGUGGCCCUGUUUUCAGGCAGGACUCAGAAACCACAGAAGGCCCUGGGUGCUUGACGUUGAAGUGUCUACACUGCUUUCCAUCCAUUACUUGCCUCUCCAGUAGAUUUUGCUGUUAUUUUCAUGGAACAAAGACUUUGCCAGACCAGUUUCUAAGUUGGAGAAGUGAAGCCACUUGGUCACUGUUUAACUGAACCAAUUAACUGGAGGAGAAGCUUGCUGGUGCAAACUUGGCUGCUCUCAUCAAAGGAGGAGCUUAGGCCCUUGCUGUCGCUGGGAAUGGCUGCUGUUCUCAUCAGGGGAGCUCCGAUCCUCACUGUAAGCAUCACUUCUGGACUCCAAUGUGGAUCCCUCAGCCUGGUGACAUAAAUCCUUCAUCCCACUGGUGUAGGUUUUCUGGCUUCCACCACUGGGCUUUGGGCUUUGCUGGUGCAGAUCCUCAAUAUGGACAAGCAUGAGACAUUGCUGUGGGCUCUAGGCUUCUGGCUAGACUUGUGGGGGGCACUGCCUCAUGCUCUAAGCCUUUAGCUGGGCUUGUAUGGGACAUUGCUGUGGGACCCAGGCCCUUAGCUGGAUUCUUUAGGUCUCUAGUGUGUGGCUAAUCUCUUGCACUACUCCAUAUUUUUGGGUAAAUAUCACAAAAUAAUCCUAUAAAUUAUGUGUCCUGUAUUAAAUGUAUUCCCUUGCCAAAACCCUGACUGUAACACUUUCUACCCUAGUCAAUUUGUUAAAAUAAAAG
Long non-coding RNA from Heterocephalus glaber (naked mole-rat), 894 nucleotides. NCBI's taxonomy places the organism in Eukaryota, Metazoa, Chordata, Mammalia, Rodentia, Bathyergidae. The record is from Ensembl.